This 75-nucleotide antisense RNA is filed under the name Streptomyces sp. CB02056. RNAcentral's name for it is "ASpks TB sRNA". It matches the Rfam family "ASpks TB sRNA". The record is from Rfam by way of RNAcentral. Lineage: Bacteria; Bacillati; Actinomycetota; Actinomycetes; Kitasatosporales; Streptomycetaceae.
CUUGGCGGAGCCGAGCCACAGCGGCCGGUCGGCGGGGCGGUCCCGGCCGUAGGUGGCCAGCAGGGCGUGGGCCUC